CAGGCCUAACACAUGCAAGUCGAGCGGGCCCUUCGGGGUCAGCGGCGGACGGGUGAGUAACGCGUGGGAACGUGCCUUCUGGUUCGGAAUAACCCUGGGAAACUAGGGCUAAUACCGGAUACGCCCUUUUGGGGAAAGGUUUACUGCCGAAGGAUCGGCCCGCGUCUGAUUAGCUAGUUGGUGGGGUAACGGCCUACCAAGGCGACGAUCAGUAGCUGGUCUGAGAGGAUGAUCAGCCACACUGGGACUGAGACACGGCCCAGACUCCUACGGGAGGCAGCAGUGGGGAAUAUUGGACAAUGGGCGAAAGCCUGAUCCAGCCAUGCCGCGUGAGUGAUGAAGGCCUUAGGGUUGUAAAGCUCUUUCGGCGGGGACGAUAAUGACGGUACCCGCAGAAGAAGCCCCGGCUAACUUCGUGCCAGCAGCCGCGGUA
Molecule: ribosomal RNA, 433 nt
Filed under: uncultured bacterium
Lineage: Bacteria
Description: bacterial SSU rRNA
Rfam family: Bacterial small subunit ribosomal RNA
Source: RNAcentral